UUUGUUGCCAACUACACAGUGGUGUAGUCUAUGUGAUACGCAAGUAUAGGCAGUAUAGCCACUAAGAAAGCGCCAGGAUUUCCAUAUACCCACUUAAAAAUGUGCAAUGACACUCAACAACAUACUUUCUAUUAUAUUUUUGAUAUAUUUUGAAUUGUCAUCUGUGUUUUUCUUCUUCA
Molecule: long non-coding RNA, 179 nt
Organism: Sander lucioperca (pikeperch)
Lineage: Eukaryota; Metazoa; Chordata; Actinopteri; Perciformes; Percidae
Exons: 3
Source: RefSeq, a predicted model, not a curated record